UCCCUGGUUGUCCAGUGGCUAAGACUCUGUGCUCCCAAUGCAGGGGGCCUGGGUUCGAUCCUCCGUCGGGGAA
RNAcentral lists this transfer RNA (73 nucleotides) under Bos taurus (domestic cattle). It matches the Rfam family "tRNA". Rfam says of the family: Transfer RNA (tRNA) molecules are approximately 80 nucleotides in length. RNAcentral also lists the same sequence under 2 other names. Lineage: Eukaryota; Metazoa; Chordata; Mammalia; Artiodactyla; Bovidae. The record is from Rfam by way of RNAcentral.